GACUUCUCCAGCCUGCUGUCAAAUGUUGGUGCUAUGCAGCCGCCCUGCCAGAGGAAACUGACCCUGCAGCGGGGUUGCCAGUACUGCCGAGGAGACAGGACUCUUGGACUAUGGAUCCACCUUCCCCUGCCCAGACUGUGGUACAUGGAUGGAAGAUCUGUCGACCUAUCUAUUGGGUUUCUAUUGCGCCCACCACUGCGGUAUCUAAGCAUUUUCUAGGACCUCUGCCUCAUUCAGUGCACAGAAUGGACUGUGUUCAGGUUUUGUGCUGUGUUCUGUAGGACCCCUUUCUCAUUCACUGUAAAAUGGAAGGAGGGCUGUGACAAUACAUAAAUUAAUGUGUGUAAUACACUCGGUACUACAUUGCUGAGCACCAUAUCAAAACCCAACAGCCUUGUGUUGUCCCUGACUGCUGCUACGCUCAUACUGUAUGUGUCUGAAGCUCUUUUCUCCCCACCUUCCUGCAGUAUCAGUGCUUCCAAAAUUGCAGUAAGAAAUGUGAGAAGGCACUUUAUGGAGCAGUUACAGAGAACCCAGGCAGUGUGCGAAUGAUCUUGAUAGUGACAAAUGAAUAUAGAAGUUCUCAAGCAAGAAGGUGUUGAAAGACACUAAAUAGCAUGAGGGUGAGAGUGUCUUUCAACAGUAAAUGAAGCUACAAACAUAAAAAGAUGAAACCAUCAUUACUUUAUUGGCUUUUAGGGUAAAAAUCACACCCAUCCAGAGAGUCAGUACAAGGCCUAUGUGCCACUAAAAUCCUACAUAAGUAUUAUUCUGAGGUCUUACGUGGUCAUGAGGACAUGAGGCUCAGCUAUGCCCUACUCCGUAGGGAUAAAAUGAGCAUGGAUCUGUCUCAGGAGUGUACUUUAAAUACCAUAACAAAACUAAGGCUUUGCCCAACUGCUUUCUUUGGAAAUCCAAAUUUCCAGACAUUAAACCCAAAUUCAGGUACGGGAGGAGAGGGUAAUGGCCUACGAAGAUUCCACUGAGGGUCUUUACCAGAACAUUGGAACAACAGAUGUAAUUGCCUUGCCCCUGACCCUGAAAACUUAAUUCUAUCUUAUAAUUUGGGCCCAUUGCAUGGUGGGAUAGACCUCGAGGAGUUUAGCUAGUUCUGUGUUGCUGUCCAUGCUGUCUGUGAGGGCCUGAUCUUGAGCCCAUUAAGGUCAAUAAAAGUCCUCUUAUAAACUUCAGCAGGCUUUGGAUCAGGUCUUAAAUGUUCGGGAAAGCUGAUAAUUACUUUAGUAGUGAGUCUUAGGGCUUGAUCUUGUGAGGUGCUCAACCCCUCAUAGGACAGAGUUCUGAGUGUAUUAAUUCAAGGUGAUUAUUUUAGUAAUCU
Dermochelys coriacea (leatherback sea turtle) is the source of this 1336-nucleotide long non-coding RNA. RefSeq lists it as uncharacterized. The record is from RefSeq and is a predicted model, not a curated record. The transcript has 5 exons. Lineage: Eukaryota; Metazoa; Chordata; Testudines; Dermochelyidae.